GAAUGGUGCUAUCACAGGUACGUCUUCUUCUCUUCCUGUUAAAGAAGUUUACAACCCGAAAGCCUUCUUCCUUCACGCGGCGUUGCUGGGUCAGACUUGCGUCCAUUGCCCAAUAUUCCCCACUGCUGCCUCCCGUAGA
This 139-nucleotide ribosomal RNA is filed under the name uncultured Eubacteriales bacterium. Its description in RNAcentral is "uncultured Clostridiales bacterium partial 16S ribosomal RNA". Lineage: Bacteria; Bacillati; Bacillota; Clostridia; Eubacteriales. The record is from RNAcentral.